UAGAGUUUGAUCCUGGCUCAGGAUGAACGCUAGCUACAGGCUUAACACAUGCAAGUCGAGGGGAAACGACAUCGAAAGCUUGCUUUUGAUGGGCGUCGACCGGCGCACGGGUGAGUAACGCGUAUCCAACCUGCCCAUCACUUGGGGAUAACCUUGCGAAAGUAAGACUAAUACCCAAUGAUAUCUCUAGAAGACAUCUGAAGGAGAUUAAAGAUUUAUCGGUGAUGGAUGGGGAUGCGUCUGAUAGCUUGUUGGCGGGGUAACGGCCCACCAAGGCAACGAUCAGUAGGGGUUCUGAGAGGAAGGUCCCCCACAUUGGAACUGAGACACGGUCCAAACUCCUACGGGAGGCAGCAGUGAGGAAUAUUGGUCAAUGGGCGAGAGCCUGAACCAGCCAAGUAGCGUGCAGGAUGACGGCCCUAUGGGUUGUAAACUGCUUUUAUAAGGGAAUAAAGUGAGUCUCGUGAGACUUUUUGCAUGUACCUUAUGAAUAAGGACCGGCUAAUUCCGUGCCAGCAGCCGCGGUAAUACGGAAGGUCCGGGCGUUAUCCGGAUUUAUUGGGUCUAAAGGGAGCGUAGGCCGGAGAUUAAGCGUGUUGUGAAAUGUAGACGCUCAACGUCUGCACUGCAGCGCGAACUGGUUUCCUUGAGUACGCACAAAGUGGGCGGAAUUCGUGGUGUAGCGGUGAAAUGCUUAGAUAUCACGAAGAACUCCGAUUGCGAAGGCAGCUCACUGGAGCGCAACUGACGCUGAAGCUCGAAAGUGCGGGUAUCGAACAGGAUUAGAUACCCUGGUAGUCCGCACGGUAAAC
RNAcentral lists this ribosomal RNA (812 nucleotides) under uncultured bacterium. RNAcentral's name for it is "bacterial SSU rRNA". It matches the Rfam family "Bacterial small subunit ribosomal RNA", at positions 1 to 807 of the family's 1533-position model. The record is from RNAcentral.